This 497-nucleotide ribosomal RNA is filed under the name Fusarium subglutinans. RNAcentral's name for it is "SSU rRNA". The stretch from base 64 to 497 matches the Rfam family "Bacterial small subunit ribosomal RNA", at positions 1 to 825 of the family's 1533-position model. RNAcentral also lists the same sequence under 2 other names. The record is from RNAcentral. Lineage: Eukaryota; Fungi; Ascomycota; Sordariomycetes; Hypocreales; Nectriaceae.
GUGGCAAGUCUUCCAGUAUGGGGAGCAAAACAGCUAUGGGUCAAGUCUGAUAUCUUUAGGAGGGGCGAAGCUCCUCUUAUUGUGAGGGCGAGUUAUAUAACACCAUAGGACUGGCCGUCCCAUAUGAAAAGAUUAUAUUAGAAUUGAAUGAAGCUUUGUUUAUAUAUUGAUAAUGACAGUAUAUAUAUCGUGUCUUGACUAAUUGCGUGCCAGCAGUCGCGGUAAUACGUAAGAGACUAGUGUUAUUCAUCUUAAUUAGGUUUAAAGGGUACCCAGACGGUCAAUAUAGCUUAUAAAAUGUUAGUACUUGACUAGAGUUUUAUGUAAGAGGGCAGUACUUGAGGAGGAGAGAUGAAAUUUCGUGAUACCAAAGGGACUCUGUAAAGGCGAAGGCAGCCCUCUAUGUAAAAACUGACGUUGAAGGACGAAGGCACAGAGAACAAACAGGAUUAGAUACCCAAGUAGUCUUUGCAGUAAAUGAUGAAUGCCAUAGGUUA